UACGUAGGGUGCAAGCGUUAAUCGGAAUUACUGGGCGUAAAGCGUGCGCAGGCGGUGAUGUAAGACAGGUGUGAAAUCCCCGGGCUUAACCUGGGAACUGCAUUUGUGACUGCAUCGCUGGAGUGCGGCAGAGGGGGAUGGAAUUCCGCGUGUAGCAGUGAAAUGCGUAGAUAUGCGGAGGAACACCGUUGGCGAAGGCAAUCCCCUGGGCCUGCACUGACGCUCAUGCACGAAAGCGUGGGGAGCAAACAGG
This 253-nucleotide ribosomal RNA is filed under the name uncultured bacterium. RNAcentral describes it as "partial 16S ribosomal RNA". It matches the Rfam family "Bacterial small subunit ribosomal RNA", at positions 524 to 776 of the family's 1533-position model. The record is from RNAcentral.